GUCUCUGUAGUGCAAUGGAUAGCACUUUGGACUUCUAAUCCAAUGGUUGUGUGUUCGAAUCCCACCCGAGAUG
Molecule: non-coding RNA, 73 nt
Organism: Trichonephila clavata
Lineage: Eukaryota; Metazoa; Arthropoda; Arachnida; Araneae; Nephilidae
Source: the annotation of a GenBank genome assembly